UUAUGUACGAUUUUAUUUUUAAUCUUAAGUUUCGAAUGUGAUAAAUACGAAACGGAGAAAGAAUCAUUGAUGAAACGUUUUAGUAUAAAUAAAUUUGAUAU
Molecule: long non-coding RNA, 101 nt
Organism: Melitaea cinxia (Glanville fritillary)
Lineage: Eukaryota; Metazoa; Arthropoda; Insecta; Lepidoptera; Nymphalidae
Exons: 3
Source: RefSeq, a predicted model, not a curated record